UAUAAAGAGUAUCUCUGUGAAGAGCCUAUCU
This 31-nucleotide non-coding RNA is filed under the name Mus musculus (house mouse). The record is from RNAcentral. Lineage: Eukaryota; Metazoa; Chordata; Mammalia; Rodentia; Muridae.